GCAUGCCUACAUCAUAGCGUUAAUGCACCGGAUCCCAUUAGAACUCCACAAUUAAGUGCGCUAAGGUUAGAGUAGUACUGGGAUGGGUGCCUGCUCGAGAAGUCUUAGUGUUUUACAUGCC
This is a non-coding RNA of Picea glauca (white spruce), 121 nucleotides long. NCBI's taxonomy places the organism in Eukaryota, Viridiplantae, Streptophyta, Pinopsida, Pinales, Pinaceae. The record is from Rfam.